GAUGAACGCUAGCUACAGGCUUAACACAUGCAAGUCGAGGGGCAGCAUGAUUGAAUCUUGCUUCAAUCGAUGGCGACAGGCGCACGGGUGAGUAACACGUAUUCAACCCGCCGAUAACUCGGGGCUAGGCUUUCGAAAGAAAGAUUAAUACCCGACUGUACAUUAUUUCCGCAUGGUUUCACUAUUAAAGAACUUCGGUUAUCGAUGGGGAUGCCUUCCAUUAUGUGGUUGGCGGGGUAACGGCCCACCAAGUCAACGAUGGAGAGGGGUUCUGAGGGGAGGGUCCCCCACAAUGGAACUGAGGCACGGUCCAAACUCCUACGGGAGGCAGCAGUGGGGAAUAUUGGUCAAUGGACGAGAGUCUGAUCCAGCCAAGUAGCGUGAAGGAGGACUGCCCUAUGGGUUGUAAGCUUCUUUUAUACGGGAAGAAAGUGGGGUAUGCAUACUGCUUUGUAUGUACCGGAUGAAUAAGGAUCGGCUAACUCCGUG
RNAcentral lists this ribosomal RNA (489 nucleotides) under uncultured bacterium. RNAcentral's name for it is "partial 16S ribosomal RNA". It matches the Rfam family "Bacterial small subunit ribosomal RNA", at positions 28 to 507 of the family's 1533-position model. The record is from RNAcentral.